AUAGUGGCCAGCAUGAGUCAAACCCAGAGCUGGGAUCAACAGCCGCAAGUCAACUGAUUUUCAUCGGGAAGCACGGAAUGAUAUGAGCCAGGAGCCCUCCAUCCCUUCCCUCUGUCUCUUACAGAGCUGGAAACUGUUGGAUAAAGCUGUGUUCUCAGCCUCCACACAGAGACCUUCUCCUCUUAUUUGGCCGCACACUUUUGAAGAGCGACUCUCUGUGAAUUCUUGUUAUUCAGAGCUGCUCUCAAAGAGGGAGAGGGAGGGGGAAAAAAGUGUAUCAGAUCAGCCUACGCCUGUGGUGACUCUCACAAGUUUCAGUUCAAGGAAAGAGAAGAAAAUCAGCAGCUACAAAUUCUGACUCAUUUUGAAAUUUCAGCGCGAUUCAGAAGCGACUGUCCUGAUUUGGGGACUGAGUGCUCAGCCCCUGCUCCGAGCUCCUGGCUGAACCUGGUUUUCCUGAGCUAGCUCCAGGGGAAAGAAAGAUCAGCAAGAAAACUGUCCACAAGCCAACCCGUCACAUGGCUCCCUAUAAAGAGGAUUUGCAUACCUGACACGGCUAUGGAAAUAUUCCCCACCCGGGAAGGGGCGAGAGAGAAGGACUCAUAGUGCCCCACUAUCAGGAUGUAAGGGGUUAACUAGUUAAACUUCUACAACCCCCCACAGUAACUUUCCAAAAGCUGACAAUAAGUAAAAGAAGUGCUGGUUAUCCAUUUUUUAAAGGGAUGGGAUUGGUUUUAGAAGAAAGGGAAAGAGGAUCAAACACCUCAGAGCAACAAAAGGUUGUGUCAGAGGGCCCUCAAUCACAAACCUCCUUCAACAAGAGAUAUUCCAACCUUCCAGAGCAGUUACCCGGGCAGCACGGCUAAAAAGUUCCCUGACAUGAAAAGAACAAAAACAGAAGGGACAGAGGUAGUUAUUGUUAUGCACACUCCUCUUUUUUUUUUUUUUUUUUUUUUUUCUGGGGCUUUUUUUCUCCCCCACAAAACUUUUUGCAUAAGCUGUUCGGGGGAGAAGUAAUAGUGCUGCUUAUUGAAAAGAAAUCCCCCCUCUUUGCAUCUCCUACCUCCUAGGUUGGGAGGUAUGGCCCAGCAGAUUCU
Molecule: long non-coding RNA, 1097 nt
Filed under: Cyanistes caeruleus (blue tit)
Lineage: Eukaryota; Metazoa; Chordata; Aves; Passeriformes; Paridae
Description: lncRNA (ENSCCEG00000013640.1)
Source: RNAcentral